RNAcentral lists this ribosomal RNA (244 nucleotides) under uncultured Duganella sp. Its description in RNAcentral is "partial 16S ribosomal RNA". It matches the Rfam family "Bacterial small subunit ribosomal RNA", at positions 94 to 339 of the family's 1533-position model. The record is from RNAcentral. Lineage: Bacteria; Pseudomonadati; Pseudomonadota; Betaproteobacteria; Burkholderiales; Oxalobacteraceae.
AGUGGCGAACGGGUGAGUAAUAUAUCGGAACGUACCCUGGAGUGGGGGAUAACGUAGCGAAAGUUACGCUAAUACCGCAUACGAUCUAAGGAUGAAAGUGGGGAUUUCGCAAGAACCUCAUGCUCCUGGAGCGGCCGAUAUCUGAUUAGCUAGUUGGUGGGGUAAAGGCCCACCAAGGCUUCGAUCAGUAGCUGGUCUGAGAGGACGACCAGCCACACUGGAACUGAGACACGGUCCAGACUCC